UACGUAGGGUGCUAGCGUUGUUCGGAAUCAUUGGGCGUAAAGCGCGUGUAGGCGGUUUGGUAAGUCGAGUGUGAAAUCCCUGGGCUUAACCGAGGAAGUGCAUUCGAAACUACCUGGCUGGAAGACGGUAGAGGAAGGUGGAAUUCCUAGUGUAGAGGUGAAAUGCGUAGAUAUUAGGAGGAAUACCGGUGGCGAAGGCGGCCUUCUGGACCGAUCUUGACGCUGAGACGCGAAAGCGUGGGGAGCAAACAGG
This 253-nucleotide ribosomal RNA is filed under the name uncultured bacterium. RNAcentral describes it as "partial 16S ribosomal RNA". It matches the Rfam family "Bacterial small subunit ribosomal RNA", at positions 524 to 776 of the family's 1533-position model. The record is from RNAcentral.